Ceratitis capitata (Mediterranean fruit fly) is the source of this 706-nucleotide long non-coding RNA. RefSeq lists it as uncharacterized. NCBI's taxonomy places the organism in Eukaryota, Metazoa, Arthropoda, Insecta, Diptera, Tephritidae. The record is from RefSeq and is a predicted model, not a curated record. The transcript has 5 exons.
UUUAAAAAAGGAAACCAUAUUCAUAAAUAAUAUUUAAUUAUUGUGAAAUUUAUCUGCGCAAUUAAAUCUUAACUCGGCAACUGUUUCUGAGCAAUUAAGCUUGUUGUUUUAGAUAAAGUGGUCUUCAUUUGUGAACGAAUCGCACGCAAGGGGUUUAAAAGGUCAAUGUUGGACUUGCUAUUACAAAGCGUAGUCAGGCAUGGGCAGGAGAAAUAUUGCACCUACAUAUUCAUAUUGUGGCUGUUUUAUAUAUUUGGAGAUCUGUACGUGCGAACAUUGUAGCUGAAUUGGUAAUAACGAGCCGAAAAUAGAAGGGUUCGCGCUCGGCUCAGAGCAAAAACUAAAAUCUUAAAAAACCCCGUUCGGAUUUUGCCUAAAUUAACCUGCAGGUCCUUCCAUUUUAUACGAAAACCUCAACGCACGCGACACAAAAAUUGCUUACAAAGCGCCAAUUAUAUAUAAUAUUGUAUAUCAGCCGGGUUUGUGAUGUUGACCAGAGCCUUGCUUUCCUUACUUGCUGAAUUUGCUUAUAAUUUAAAAAAUCCUUUGCCGCCUCAUACAUGUACAUAUUCCUUUUUAAAUCUUGCGAGAUUCAGUAACCUCUUUAAAGUAUGUAACUAUGGGUAAUUCAGCAGUGAAUGCAUUUCUGGGAUUUGAUUCCGGUGUGCUACUAGUGGUGAUUGGAGUUGUUGGCGGUAAAGGCAAG